CAGCCGCCGCGGGAAUACGGAGGGUGCAAGCGUUAAUCGGAAUUACUGGGCGUAAAGCGUGCGUAGGCGGUUCGUUAAGUCUGUUGUGAAAGCCCCGGGCUCAACCUGGGAAUGGCAAUGGAUACUGGCGAGCCAGAGUGUGUCAGAGGAUGGUGGAAUUCCCGGUGUAGCGGUGAAAUGCGUAGAGAUCGGGAGGAACAUCAGUGGCGAAGGCGGCCAUCUGGGACAACACUGACGCUGAGGCACGAAAGCGUGGGGAGCAAACAGGAUUAGAUACCCCAGUAGUCCCUGUCUCUUAUAC
Molecule: ribosomal RNA, 301 nt
Filed under: uncultured bacterium
Lineage: Bacteria
Description: partial 16S ribosomal RNA
Rfam family: Bacterial small subunit ribosomal RNA
Source: RNAcentral